UGCUUUGUGCAGUGGCAGUAUUGUAACCAAUGAGGUUUAUCCGAGGCAUUAUUGUUGCUAAUUGGAGACAUUGAAGAUCUAAAACAUAGCUUCCCCUUGCUUUAGCAGCUCUCCUGAAAGG
Molecule: small nuclear RNA, 121 nt
Filed under: Fukomys damarensis (Damara mole-rat)
Lineage: Eukaryota; Metazoa; Chordata; Mammalia; Rodentia; Bathyergidae
Description: U4 spliceosomal RNA (ENSFDAG00000006969.1)
Rfam family: U4 spliceosomal RNA (bases 1-73)
About the family: U4 small nuclear RNA (U4 snRNA) is a component of the major U2-dependent spliceosome. The structure of U4 snRNA from yeast and human has been reported. U4 snRNA presents a k-turn RNA motif in the 5p-SL related to recognition of Snu13 protein.
Source: RNAcentral